UAGAAAAAGACUCGGAUCUAUGGAAAAGAGGCUGCCGAGAUCGCUAUUCCAUUUGCAAGCAACCAAGGUAUGCCAGGAUCUGUCACCUGAGGAACAAUCCGAGUCAUGCUUUUGUUCAGGUGCGAUGUCGCAGGACUUGUGGACUUUGCUAAUGAGGUAAACCGUGAGUUCGUCUCAAGACAGGAGAGCCUUGGCGUCAAUUUAUGAACGGUUGAAAUGUAGUCAGCACUUUGCGUAGCCAUUUGGCUAAAAAGAAUAGUUAUUAACUAGAACAUUUCUUUGCGUUGUUUUAGGAAAACUAGUCUCAAAUGAAAUAAAAUACAUUAGUAUUUGCUUCGCCCUAA
This is a long non-coding RNA of Stylophora pistillata, 344 nucleotides long. The record is from RefSeq and is a predicted model, not a curated record. NCBI's taxonomy places the organism in Eukaryota, Metazoa, Cnidaria, Anthozoa, Scleractinia, Pocilloporidae.